This 339-nucleotide ribosomal RNA is filed under the name uncultured Pseudomonas sp. Its description in RNAcentral is "bacterial SSU rRNA". It matches the Rfam family "Bacterial small subunit ribosomal RNA", at positions 1044 to 1382 of the family's 1533-position model. Lineage: Bacteria; Pseudomonadati; Pseudomonadota; Gammaproteobacteria; Pseudomonadales; Pseudomonadaceae. The record is from RNAcentral.
AGUCGUUGUCGUCAGCUCGUGUCGUGAGAUGUUGGGUUAAGUCCGUAACGAGCGCAACCCUUGUCCUUAGUUUACCAGCACGUUAUGGUGGGCACUCUAAGGAGACUGCCGGUGACAAACCGGAGGAAGGUGGGGAUGACGUCAAGUCAUCAUGGCCCUUACGGCCUGGGCUACACACGUGCUACAAUGGUCGGUACAAAGGGUUGCCAAGCCGCGAGGUGGAGCUAAUCCCAUAAAACCGAUCGUAGUCCGGAUCGCAGUCUGCAACUCGACUGCGUGAAGUCGGAAUCGCUAGUAAUCGUGAAUCAGAAUGUCACGGUGAAUACGUUCCCGGGCCUU